Molecule: long non-coding RNA, 4027 nt
Organism: Balaenoptera ricei (Rice's whale)
Lineage: Eukaryota; Metazoa; Chordata; Mammalia; Artiodactyla; Balaenopteridae
Exons: 3
Source: RefSeq, a predicted model, not a curated record
UCCGGGCGAGUUCUCGCGAGAUUUGGGCGCUUCCGCGGGCGGGUGUCUCUGGGUCUCCUGGAGGCGCGGCAGCGAGAGACGUUUGGACGGCGCGGGGCUCCGAGCCUCCAGUAGCGAGCCUGGUCCUCAGCGAGAAGCUUGGUUGUGAACAGUUCUAGAGCGAGCGACCUCCGUCUGUCAGGAUCUAAAUUAGGUGAGCGGAGGCAGGGCUGGGUUCCCUGGGCCAGCACUACAGCUUUCUGCACCUGGAGUCGGCGGGAGGUGAGCCCCAGCAGCCAGGAGAGCAGGACCCUCCCUCCUGACCUCACCCUGGAGCCGUGUGGGCCCUCCUGGCUUAGCCCAGCUGUCCCAGGAUGGGGCUUAGUCUGUUUUCCGAUGGGCUUUCAUUUCAAGGUGUUCCUGUGAGGGUAAGAACCUGGGUCUCCCCCUAUUGGGAGCAUGGCCCUGCUCGUGUCACCUGCCCUGUUUCCACACCUGCAGGAUUAUCUGCCCUUGGAAGUGCUUUCUCCUUGCUGGUUGUGUGACCGGGGGCAAUUCUUUACCCUCUGUGUGCCAGUUUUCUCAUUUUAAAAUGGGGAUAACAAUACUGCCUGCCCAUGAAGUGCUCAGAACAAGUGCUGGGAAUGGGCUGUUUCUCCUGGCUGCUGUAAUUGUCAUUGAGGGUCCUGGACCCUAGCUGAAGAAAGCAUCUCACCCGUAGGCCCGUCUGUUACAAGGUCUGUCCCUUGGGGCCUCCUCCGGGCCCAUAUCUGUGUGCCAGGCCUUAGAGCCUGGCAUCUGAUAGGCCUGGCUGAAGAUCCUGGGCAAGCUGUGCACCUGUGGCCAAAUUCCCUCACCUCUUUGAGCCUCAGUUUCCUCAUCUGUAAGAUGGGGGUGACAACAGAAGCCCCCUUCCUUGUGGGCAGGCAGAGCACCCGGGUGCUCACCCACAGGUUCCCCCCAAACCUGCCGGCCCUGAGGGAACCCUUUGCCUGGAGAACAGGAGUAGAGAUCUGGCGGAUGAGGCCAAAGUGUUCCCAGGCUGGGAGGUGACAGGCAGCAGGCUGUGCGGCUGUCACACACACACACACAGCCCUGUCAGCUGUAGGACCAAGAUGGCCAGAUCAUGGAGUGUGCCUGAGCCCGUGCGUGUCAUGAUGGCACCCGAGGGCAGGUGGCCCCUCAGAGCCCAGUGUCCGCCCUUGGAGCACAGGCCCACCCCUGCAACCGGGCAGCUCUCAGUGCACACCCCGGCCGGGAGACUGGGAGGCCACCUUUAUUCGGCCAGGAGUGGCCUUGUGUGCAAUUUACAGAGCUCCUUCCCGUACCGGGACCGCCAGCAUCGCCAGGGCCCCCGGGCCAGCACCAUCCCCACACCUCUGAGUGUGUGAGGCCAGUGACACUGGCUGCGUGGCGGAUGGCCGGGGUACGGAUGCCAGGUGGGGGCCGGGAGUGAGCUUGGCCUUAGACCUUCCACAUGGAGGGCUGGGAUGCCCAAUGGGAAUCCUAGCCCACUGAGAGGCGUCCCAGGUGCCUCCGGAGCCCACGGCCCUGCUAGGAGAGCACAGGUGCGAGGGGGGUGCUCCAGGCCCCCUGGGGACCAAGGACCCCUGUCCCGGCCUGGACGUCCACCCAGGGAGGGGAAGCUGCCGGAAAAGAAAACGUGCGGGCAGGACCUUCUUCCCCAGAGCCCCACUGGUGGGGCCCUCUGCUGUAUGCCCACGUGCCCCUUCCGCAUCUGAGUGAGAAGACCUGUUCCCAUCUGCCCCCCCUGCCCCUGCUCUGCUCAAGGAAUCCUGAGAGGAAACAGCCUCCCCCAGGGAGGGUCCUGGAGUGAGCCUGACCCCAAAUGAACUCUGGGGCCAGGAAGCAUGAAUAUAAAUAUAUAUGCUGUGUGUAUAUAUUAUAUAAACGUAUCUGUAUAUGUAUAUAUGUACAUGCACAUCACGAGGGCCGGGGGCCGCCGUGCCCCAGGACGGGGGCUUCUCCGCCUGGUCCAGGACUAGCCUGGCUCCUCCCCAGAAGCAUGGUCACCCGGGCACCUCGAAAAGCCUCUGACCGGGCGGCCAGGGGGCCACAGCCAUCACUUGAGGUCGAGUGUCCAGGUGUUCGAGACGUAGAGGGACUGGGUGUGGCGGGCGCGGCGGGGCGUGGUGUUGAGGGCGUCCACACUCCUGCGGCUGGAGCGCACCACGUCCGCCACAAAGCCGGUGCAGUCGCUGCAGACAUCCUUCAGGACGCAGCCGUGAGUGUAGAUGUGCGGGAACUCCUCCUCCACGCUCCGCCAGUGGGGCCCCUGCAGGGGUCUGGGGCAGGACGGGGCCGUCAGGGGUCCUCCCGAGUCUCCACAUCCCCCCGCGCCCACAGCAGGCAGAGCAAAGUCCAUCCCGCAGCAGCUCUUCCUUGGGCGGAAUUUGGGUCCUGGGCUCUGACCUCUCAGCCCCAGCCCACCCCAGCACACAGGCCCCCGCCCAGCUUCCAGGUGACUGUGAUGCCUGCCCACCACAGGGACGUCACCAAGGGCAGGCACGCACUGGAAGGCGUCUCUUCUCUGCGCCGGCGAGGCUUUGGCGGUUGACACCCUCUGAGGACUCUCGAAGCCCAGCGUGUACACGGGGAUGUGUGCAAACUUCUUAGACGGCAUCUUCAUCUGCAACACAGAGAGACACUCCAGGCACCUUGGUCCCCCCGAACAGCCGCCAACACACAACAUGGAGCACUGCGGCCUGAACUGCAGACAGCUCUGGAGAGAAAAGAAGAGGGUUAGCAGUGUCAGCUGUGAGGGGUCCAGCACCCGCCCAGCACAGGCGAGGCCAGGCUGUCACUGCCUCCUGCUUGACCCCUGGCCACGUCAGUGCUUUACUUUCAUUUUACUCCCAAAUCUUGCUUUUCUUCUUGCUCAGCUCUACACCCCAAAUCCUUCUGCCCCUCCUCACCCUUUCUGGGGAGCAUCUGGUCUGGAGUGGAGGGUACCUGACCCCUCUCCACAAGCACCGUCAGAGCCAGACGCCCUCAAGUGAGAUGCCCAGCUUUAAGCAGUGAUUAACAGUUUUUAUUUCCCAUACAUGAUUUCAAAAGUAAAUGCCUUCUUGCUGUAAAAAUUCAAACACUAGAGAGAAUUUUAAUUUAGACAGGAGUCCUCUCCUGUAAAGCCCAUCCUAGAGAUGAUCCCUACUAUCAGCAGUUUCCAUUCUCCAUAUCUAAGCAUAAAUUAACAAAAACAUACAUUUAAAAUAAAAAUACAAUAAAUGAAAUGGGGUAUCAUGUGUACUAUCCUAUAAAGAUACACCAGGGCUCUUCUCCACAUCAGUACAAAUUGUCCAAAUUCAUUUUUUAAAACAAGGGACCAUGCACUCUUGCAUGGAUGUCCCAUAAUUAAUUCGCCAUCAACGAACCUCUGUUAUUAGUUUGAUUUUAUUUUACUGUAGUCAGGGAACAUACUUUGUAUGAUAUCAAUCCUUCCACAUUUUUGAGACUUGUUUUUUGACCCAGAAUAGUCAAUUUUGGUGAACGUUCCGUGUGCACUUGAUAAGAACAUACAUCCCACUGUUCGGUCUAGUUUCUCUAAAUGUCACUUAGAUCAAGUUGGUGAUAGUGUCAUUCAAAUCUCCCUUAGGGUUUCACAUCUCUAACUGUAACCAUGGAUUUAGCUAUUUUUCCUUGCAGCCUGUCAAUGUUUUGUUCCAUGUAUAUUGAAUCUCUUGCUAGGUGUGGAAAAUGUUCAGGAUUAUUUCCUCCUUUUAUCAUUAUGAAAUGAACUCCUUUAACUCUGAUAAUAUUCUUUACUCCAUAGUCUACUUUGUAUUGUAUUAAUAUAUCGACUCAAGCUUUCUUUAGACUACUGUUGGUGUGGUGUAUCUUUCUCCACCCAUCUCCCUCCAACCAGUUUGUGUCUUUUAUUUAAUGUACAUGUCUUGGGAAUUCCAUGGCGGUCCAGUGGUUAGGACUCCAUGCUUGGGUUUGCAGGGGGCUUGGGUUUGAUCCCCGGUUGGGGAACUAAGAUCCUGCAAGCCAUGCAGCAUAGCCAAAAAAUAAAAUAAAAUAAAAA